GCGGCGUGCCUAACACAUGCAAGUCGAGCGGGGAGAUGCCUUCGGGUAUCUUCUAGCGGCGGACGGGUGAGUAACGCGUGGGCAACCUGCCUCACACAGGGGGAUAACACUGGGAAACUAGUGCUAAUACCGCAUAACAUCAUAAGAUGGCAUCAUCGUAUGAUCAAAGGAGUAAUCCGGUGCGAGAUGGGCCCGCGUCCGAUUAGCUAGUUGGUGGGGUAAAAGCCUACCAAGGCGACGAUCGGUAGCCGAACUGAGAGGUUGAUCGGCCACAUUGGGACUGAGACACGGCCCAGACUCCUACGGGAGGCAGCAGUGGGGAAUAUUGCGCAAUGGGGGAAACCCUGACGCAGCAACGCCGCGUGA
RNAcentral lists this ribosomal RNA (366 nucleotides) under uncultured bacterium. RNAcentral's name for it is "bacterial SSU rRNA". It matches the Rfam family "Bacterial small subunit ribosomal RNA", at positions 39 to 404 of the family's 1533-position model. The record is from RNAcentral.